Phrynosoma platyrhinos (Desert horned lizard) is the source of this 72-nucleotide non-coding RNA. Lineage: Eukaryota; Metazoa; Chordata; Lepidosauria; Squamata; Phrynosomatidae. The record is from the annotation of a GenBank genome assembly.
GGCUUUUUUGGUGUAGUGGAUGGGUGUUGGACUACAACUCUGGAAACCAGGGUUCAAAUCCCUGUUGGGCCA